Molecule: ribosomal RNA, 326 nt
Filed under: Ancylus sp. K3.1
Lineage: Eukaryota; Metazoa; Mollusca; Gastropoda; Ancylidae
Description: partial 16S ribosomal RNA
Rfam family: Eukaryotic large subunit ribosomal RNA (bases 1-119)
Source: RNAcentral
UAUUAUUUCUGCCCAGUGUAUAUAUAAACGGCCGCAGUACUUUGACUGUGCUAAGGUAGCAUAAUCAAUUGGCUUUUAAUUUGAGUCUGGAAUGAAAGGAUUUAUGAGGAUUUACUGUCUUAAAUAUAUAAUAUUGAAUUUAUUAAAAAAGUGAAAAUACUUUUUUUUAAAAAAAAGACGAGAAGACCCUAAGAAUUUUUAGAUAGUAUUGUAAAUUAUUUUCUUUUUGUUGGGGCGACAAUUAAGCACUAAACCUUAAUUAUUUUUUAAUCGGUUUUUUCAGUAUAAAAUAAAUUACCUUAGGGAUAACAGCAUAAUUUUUAAAA